AGCGAACGCUGGCGGCAGGUUUAACACAUGCAAGUCGAGCGGGCAUAGCAAUAUGUCAGCGGCAGACGGGUGAGUAACGCGUGGGAACGUACCUUUUGGUUCGGAACAACACAGGGAAACUUGUGCUAAUACCGGAUAAGCCCUUACGGGGAAAGAUUUAUCGCCGAAAGAUCGGCCCGCGUCUGAUUAGCUAGUUGGUGAGGUAAUGGCUCACCAAGGCGACGAUCAGUAGCUGGUCUGAGAGGAUGAUCAGCCACAUUGGGACUGAGACACGGCCCAAACUCCUACGGGAGGCAGCAGUGGGGAAUAUUGGACAAUGGGCGCAAGCCUGAUCCAGCCAUGCCGCGUGAGUGAUGAAGGCCCUAGGGUUGUAAAGCUCUUUUGUGCGGGAAGAUAAUGACGGUACCGCAAGAAUAAGCCCCGGCUAACUUCGUG
This 435-nucleotide ribosomal RNA is filed under the name uncultured bacterium. Its description in RNAcentral is "partial 16S ribosomal RNA". It matches the Rfam family "Bacterial small subunit ribosomal RNA", at positions 29 to 507 of the family's 1533-position model. The record is from RNAcentral.